Long non-coding RNA from Acinonyx jubatus (cheetah), 7439 nucleotides. RefSeq lists it as uncharacterized. NCBI's taxonomy places the organism in Eukaryota, Metazoa, Chordata, Mammalia, Carnivora, Felidae. The record is from RefSeq and is a predicted model, not a curated record. The transcript has 4 exons.
CCAGGCGUGCCAGGUCCCAUUCCACCCAAACGCCCCUCCGCCGUCCCAAUCAGGGCGGGAGGCUGGACAACGGCCUUCGACUCAGAAGAGACGGUGAGAAGGCGGCAGAACGUCCGCCUCAGAGAUGAAAGCAGCCCCUCCCCAAAGGAACCUCUAGGCUCAAUAAUGAGAAGAUGAGACGGAGGUUGCGCAGGGGUUCUGCAGACAGCCAGGCCUCCUCCGCCCACCAAAUGCCCAGGCCCGAGGCCGCUCUUCCCGGGCCCCUGGGGCGCCGGAUCGCGUCCAGUCUACCCCGCCCUCCAGGCCCUUGGCUGUACCGUGGCCGCAAACUCCAAUAGCUCGGGGCCAGGCCCUCCGCCGCCCAAGACUGUCCUCACCUGCCGUUGGAGGCGCUGGGAGUGGGAGGGAUAGGGAGGACGCCUCAGGCCCCAACACUUUCGCCAACCGGUACCGGCAGCUCCGCCCUCUGCGCCCACAGAGCGUGCGCGGAAACGGGAGUCCCGCCCUGUCCCGCCCCGUCCUGCCCCGUCUCCCACCAAUCCCCACUCAAGAAGGCACGCCUGCGCAUUAGCUGUACGACGCCCCAAUCGUCCUUUGUCGAAGCCCAGGGAUCCACCUUUUGCCAUAACAAAAGGACGUUGGCAUCCAAUCAGGAUUGAGGCUGAUGUGGGCGGGUCCAGGAAAAACAACAGCCAAUGGCAGUACAGAGGCGAAGUUAGGCGUGAGAAAGCCAGUCCCAGGAAAGCAGCCCUUCAGUCUCAGCAGGAGCCUGAAAAUUGGGGUCAGAAAUACGGUGUGGAAAAUUCUGACAGCUGUCAGGAAGGAGGUUACUGAAUUCAUUGGAGAAUGAGUGAUGUCCUAAAUUUGAUGGAGAGAAUCGCUGAAAGUUGGAGUGAGAUGGGCAUUCCAAGUGGGUUGACCUUGCCUGAUACAUCUGCAGUAUAUGUCUGAGACUGCCACCCUCAGCAUUGCUUGGUGCUUUGGAAGCCAUGGAAGCCACACCUGCCAGUGUGGGUUUUAGACUCUGGUUACAAGCACUUUUUUUUUUUUUUUUUUUAAGUAUUUGUGAUCCUAAAGGGUCUUCUUUGACUUCUUCCCAACUUGAUGAAAAGGUUAGAAAAUUAUGACUGAAUAGGGGAAAGCUAAGUUAGAAGCUAGUUCCCAGGAACCCUCACCCUAACUUUUCUGCUGCAUGGAUAGUUUCUCCUUCCUUUCUGAAGAGAGUGCCCAGAGGCUGUCUGUGCUUUGCUCUCCUCUUGGGAGUUGUCCCCAUCAAUCCCAUAGGAGGGGUUGUUCACCCAUCAUGGCAGCCAUGGAGGCACAUGACUCAGUUCUCCUUGGAAGAGAACUUGCUGGGCUGUGGGGGUGGAGGGACUAGCUGACUGACAGCCUCUAGCUCCUGCACCUUUGGAUCCACUGGAUUUCUGGAUUGCUCCCAAUCAAUGACAGAGAAUUGUCGGGUUACUAACCCAUUCCUCCUAAAUGUGGAAUUAUCUAAGGGGAAGUUCUGACUCAGGGCCUUCCCAUUGACUUGGCCAAGACUUACUUAGAACCCCACUGGGGUCAAUAACUCUUCCAACUCAACUCUUCCUUCCGUGUCUUCUUUCAUGGAUGUCAGGCCUGCAUCGAGUUUGGACUCUUCUGCAUAUUCUUGUUUCCCUUUUAUUUUUUAUGAGUGUUUACUCCAAUAAAUAUCUUGUAUAUCUAAUGCUGUGUGGGUGUCUGCUGCUUGAAAGACAGAGGAGACACCAGGAGUGUUCUGAGUAAGCUGGUAUUAAGGUGGGUUUUGGAACUGGGCUGCCCACAACCUGGCUGACCAGAAAGACCUCAUCCUGAGUGGUGUGUAGGGGACAGAUACUCCCUGGCACAAGGUGGCAACUUAACUGUUGAAAAUUUCAUGUGUGGUUGCCCCUGGGAAAACAUUCUGGUGAGGGAGAAUGCCUUUGCCUGUGUGAUGAUUAAGACAUCUGAAAGAUAUGUGGGGGAACAUGGCUUACAAGAUCAGUAGAAUUUACUGGUUGCUACUAAGUUGUACUGGUGGGCUGCAGGGGAAUACGAGGAAACCAAGUACAGUUAACAUACAGACAAAAGCUAAGUGUGGGAGCCAGGGGGCCUUUCUGAUAGUUUAUAAAGAGGCUUUUAUCUCAUGCAGUGGAAGAGCAGACACAGUUGAGGAGCAAAUUCAGAAUCUGAUAGGAUUGCAAAGCCAAAGUGAUGUUUGCAUACUCAGCCAAGACAGAUCUUAUGGGAUCAAGGCCCUGGUUGGGAAAACAUAAGACCUUAAACACUGAGUCAAAGACAUCUGGGUGGAUGUUCUCAAGAAUUUGAUUCCUCAGGUCCCUCCUAACCCUCAGAGCUCUUGUAGAUGCCCCCCACCCCCAGAGUAAAAGACAGCAUUUUUGUAAUUCAGAAAGAUACCGUAGGGUUCUUUCCUCAGCAAGGUACCAAGUACCCCUGUCCCCCAACCCAGGAGCUAUCGCAUCUCUUAUUCUGGCUGCCAGGCCAGUAAUGAAGAUUAAAUUUCAGCAUAAUUCAGCUGAGGACAUAUAGGGUUUGAUAAGGAAAAAUAGAGAUUAUAUCUCAAAGGAGCUGAGAGAAUCAGCUAGCAUGAACCACCAGGAGCCAGAGAGGUACCCCUGGAAUUAGAUUUUGAAUAUGCUUGAUCAAAAUGGUUGAACAUAAGACUGGAGGUAAAAUGACAGCUAGCCAAUGAGGGUACUGAUUAAUACCUACAGUCGGAAGAAGGCAUGAAUGGAGGAGCAGUAGCAGAGAGCACUCCAAUAAAAAGUCAUCACCAUUUGCUUUAUUUCCUGGACCUGAGAAGAUUGUCAGAUCUGAUCCCAUUCACUAAAGAGGUGGCCAGAUCCCUAGGCAAAAUGAGACUGCAAUGCCAUGGCAAGUAUAUACCAUGAUGAUUCCCCUACUCCUCUCCAAAAGGGGCCUAUGCACACUGGGGAAAUGAGUAUACCCAAAUAUUUUGAUGCUAUCAGACACGGGUCUGAGUUGACAUUGAUGCCUAGAGAAGAGACCUGAAGUGUUAUCGCAGCCUUCUGUUAGAGUUGGAGAUCACAGAGCCAGGAAAUAAAGUAAGUCCUGGCUAAAGCUUGGCUUCCAGUGUGUCCUCUAGGUAGUCAUUGGAUCCACCUAGUAGUCAUGUCUCCAGUCCUUGAGUAUAUAAUCAGAACUGAUACACGUGGCAUUUGGUGUAACCCAAACAUCGGAUCCUUGGCAUAUGGGUAUGAGCUAUUGAAGGCCAAGUGGAAGCCUCUGAAAUUGCCCUCACUCUCCACCCUAUCUCCAACUAAGAUAGUAAAUCAAAAGCAAUACCAUAUUCUAACAGUGGAUAUUUGUGCCCAUUAAAGACUUCAAAGAUACAGGGUGGUGGUCCCCAAUAUAUCUGUGUUUAAUUUGCUAGUCUGGCCCCAUUCUCAAGUUGGGUCCUUGAGAAUGAUUAUUUUCUACUGCAGACUUUGCCAAGUAGUAGUCCUGAUAAAAGCUAUUGUGCCACAUGUGAUUUCAUUGCUAGAACAGAUUAAUAUACUUCAGGUAUACGGUACAUAGCCACUGAUUGGUUACUAAAAAACGAUUUUGUUCUCGGGAUUUUUUUAACUCAGUCACUCUCUGCCACAACAUAGCCUCUGGGGAUCUGGACCAUCUGGACAUUCUGCAGAAUGUUACAUUGAUCCAUUAUGUUGAUGACAUCAUGUUGAUUGGGCAAGAUGAGCAAGAGGUUGCUAUACGCUGGAGGCCUUGGGAAGAUACGUACAUUGCAGAGGGUGUGAUAUAUGAAGAAUCAGGGAGCUGCUACUCAGUGAAAAUGCCUCUUCACUCAGCCAGAUCUUGAGAGCAUCAUUGUCCGACGAGAGGCCGUUUCCCAAGUAACUUGAAGGCUGCAUGACUCCCGUAGUUGUCCUUAACAGCCCGGCUCCAGUACACCGCCUCCCGCAUACAUCACACCGCCCGGUGUUGGGCUGGAACUAACCAACCGUGAUAUUGGCAGUCACGCUCGCGUGCUCAAACCACCCAUGUGCAUGUGCUGGGAGGGGGCCGGCGCACAACUGCACGCAGCACCCAAUCUGGGCUCCAAACGGCACUGCAUUCUUAACGAGCAGGCUGGCUCAUUAGAGGGAAAUGUGGUCUAUAAUUCCAUGUUACAUCGCCUUUUGGCUCUGUUUUGUCUUUGCAGGCACCAGAUCUCAUCUAUCGGAAGCUGCAUAUGGCUCAUUAAAAGGACAGAGUUAGGGAGGGGCAACAGCAGGGCUCUCAGGCCAGAUGCCAUCAUCCCCUCCCUCCCCCUUUUUUUCUUUUUCAGCCCUUCCAAUGUUUUCCUUUCUUAGUUUAGCCUUCUCUCACCCACUCAGUAAAACCUAUAGACCUGUAAUAACUACCACUUAUCAAGCACGCACUCUGUGCCAGGUACAAUUGUACAUGAUCUCCGAUCCUCAAGACAACCUAGAAAAGCAUUCUAAUCCCAUGGUACAGGUAAGGGAACUGACUCUGGGAGGUUAAGGGGCCUCCCUGAGUGCAGGAGCAGGAGUGGGAAGCCAGAUCUGUCUGGCUCUUACCACUGUGUCACUUAAACUCGGGGCUGUUCACAUGGUACUUAGCACUUUGCAUGGUCUUAGUCCAGCCAAGGGAAGAAGGUUCUUCCCUACCCAACCUUUAUUACAAGGGAAAUGCUGCGUUCCCAUCUAAAGUUCUGAAAUUUGGAAAAGCCCUAUUUCCAUAUCAUUUUUCUUGUUAUCCCCAUAAGCCAAACAACCAAAAUUUAAAUCUAGGGACACCCACAAUAUGCCCCAGCUUCUUACAACCCUGACCAAGAAUGCAGUGACCAAGAGCUUUUUUUCGGCUGGCUCCAGCAUUAGGCUGUCUCACCCUCUGCUGUCUGCUAUAACAGUAAACCAUGCCCUGCAUCCAGUAAGUACAUUGUUUCCAUUUAUUUCAGUUCAGUCACCUGGGAUUUUCAAAGAGCUGUCUGUGACAGAGGUGUGCUCUGCCACAAUUUUCCUCCUAUCAUCUAAAUUGGCUCUCCUCUCCUUCGGCUCCUUAAGAAAAACCUGUUCCUGAUUGCAAGGAUGUGUCUGUUGCAGGCAGGCAGGAGAUGAAAUAUAGCACAGUGGCUACGAACACAACUUUAGAGUAAGACCUUCAAGACAAGAUGCCAAUCCUGCUUGCCCCAUAUACAAACUUUGAGAUGUGAUGAUUGGCUUUGAUUCUGUAAGCCUCAGUUUCCUCAGCUGAGGUUCGAGGAAAAUAAUGUGUGCAGAGCUUUCAACACGAUGUCUAUCUAGCACACAGUGAGGGUUCAAGACAUUAACUGUUAUCAUUAGUCUUCAGUUGGAAUGAAUAGAAGGCUAUGUUAAAUUUGCAUGAUUGUACUUUUACAGUAAGCCGUUAAUGAUGCAUCCAUUUAGUUUUCUACUCUGGAAGAGCAUAGAUUUGAUUAAUUACAACAAGAAUUUAAAGUAUUUCCAUUAUUCAGAAAUAACCUACAGAGUCUAAGCUUGUCCCUUCCUUCCUCCCUUCUUUCCCAAUCUUUUUUUUUUUUAAGAGAGAGAGAGAGAGAGAGAGAGAGAGGUAAAUAACAAUUAUGUAGUCAGAUUCACUAGCUCUUCCUCUCCUUGGUAACAGCCUAAGGCUUAACCUUGAUUAAGCAACAUCACAUCUGAUAUAAGUUCUCUCCACCCUCAACCCAGCCUCUGCUCCCCUUGGGGAGCAGCCCUACGCUAGACUCCCCAGCCCUGCUUACAGCAUCAGAACAUUACCAAGGCUAAGCAUCCUUAAAAUAUUCUUUUAAAAUUAAAUAGUUGUCUACCUACUUGAAGUUGGGCCAUUUUAUCUAUUCUGCAGGACAGUCUUGCCCCUCAGAAAAUGCAUGAGCAUGUUAAAUCAUUCUGGGGGUACCUGGAUAGCUCAGUCAGGUAAGCGUCUGACUUCAGCUCAGGUCACGAUCUCAUGGUUCGUGAGUUUGAGCCCUACCUCAGGCUCUGUGCCGAUAGCUCAGAGCCUGGAGCCUGCUUCGGAUUCUGUCUCCCUCUGUGUCUGCCCCUUCCCCACUCACUCUCUCUCUCUCUUUCUCUCUCAAAAAUAAAUAAAUAAACAUUGAAAAUUUUUUUUAAAAAAAUAAAAAAUUAUUCUGAAAUGCAUUUUAGAAGGGUCCUGAUCCAGACCACGCCUAUGUAUUUCCCAGGUGAAUGGCCCUGAGAUGUUUUGCUCGUGCCCUUCCUAUGAGUGCAAGCAAAGCAAAAUUUCUUGACAAAACAAGUUAGGAGUAAUAGGUGGGAUUUUUUUUUUUGACACUUCUUAUGACUCAAAGCAAACCUAAUUCUAGUUGUAGAGCAGGAAAAGAGAGGUGAGAUUGAUAUCGAGGAAAAUUGAACAUUGAUAAAGGAAGUUGCUUUCAUUCAGUCUCUCAGGUUCUCUGUCUGUCUGUCUGUCUGUCUCUGUCUCUCUCUCACACACACAGCCCCUUAAAGGGUAACUAUGUCCUGCAGAUCAUACUAUGUUAAUCUCAAUGCAAACAUAGCUGCACUGAAGGCAUUAGGGCCUCUCAUUUUCACUCACAAAGCUUCAGAUUCCACUAAAUUAUUAAAACUGGACACAGACUUCCAAUUUUGUGCCCACACCUACUCACGAAUACCUCCUUAUAAUGGGUGAGGAUAUAUUCAAUGCUAAAUUUCCUGCGAAUUUUCACAGCAUUCAGUCUUGAGACUGAGUUACUGUAUCCUGUGUGUGUUGGUAAACCUUUCUUUGAUUAAAAAUGGGAUAAAUCAUGGGGCACCUGGGUGGCUCAGCCCAUUACAUGUCUGACUCUUGGUUUCGGCUCAGAUUAUGGUUUGUGAGUUCAAGCCCCACAUCGGGCUCUGUGCUGACAGCUUAGGGCCUGGAGCCUGCUUUGGAUUCUGUGUCUCCCUCUCUCUCUGCCCCUCCUCUGCUCAUGCUCUGUCUCUCUCUGUGUCAAAAAUAAAUGAACAUAAAGAAAAAAAAUGCAGGACUAUCCCUAUUUUUUAAAAAAUGGGAUAAAUCAAUGAGAGAGUCCUUUUACCCAAGGCCACCUUAACUUUCACACGAAGGUCAUAUAUGCACUAAUUGGGUGAAAUAUAAAUCGUGUUUCUUUCCACAUUCACUUUUAGAUCCUGACCUAUGUUGUGUCAAGAAAUCAUAGGCAGCCCAACCUGUGUCAUCAAGGUUGGCUUGAUUCACAGAUGAUUUCCUUAAAUCAUAGAAUGAUAUUAAAUGCAAUUCCAAAAUAGAGAAAGUUCAAAGGCACAUUUUUUAAAAGCUUAUAAUGUUGUAGAAAAGGCAAUGGGAACCUUAACUCCAUUUGCUUUCCUAUUUCAUAGAGAUUUUGAGGGCAGGAGAAGAAUAUAACUCCUACCGAUAACACCUGUCAUGUCCUCCCUGGGAAAGGUGAUGUGGAAGAACUAUCAUUUUGAUCA